RNAcentral lists this ribosomal RNA (427 nucleotides) under uncultured bacterium. Its description in RNAcentral is "partial 16S ribosomal RNA". It matches the Rfam family "Bacterial small subunit ribosomal RNA", at positions 355 to 774 of the family's 1533-position model. The record is from RNAcentral.
UGGGGAAUAUUGCACAAUGGGCGCAAGCCUGAUGCAGCCAUGCCGCGUGUAUGAAGAAGGCCUUCGGGUUGUAAAGUACUUUCAGCGAGGAGGAAGGCGUUGUGGUUAAUAACCGCAACGAUUGACGUUACUCGCAGAAGAAGCACCGGCUAACUCCGUGCCAGCAGCCGCGGUAAUACGGAGGGUGCAAGCGUUAAUCGGAAUUACUGGGCGUAAAGCGCACGCAGGCGGUCUGUCAAGUCGGAUGUGAAAUCCCCGGGCUCAACCGGGGAACUGCAUCCGAAACUGGCAGGCUAGAGUCUUGUAGAGGGGGGUAGAAUUCCAGGUGUAGCGGUGAAAUGCGUAGAGAUCUGGAGGAAUACCGGUGGCGAAGGCGGCCCCCUGGACAAAGACUGACGCUCAGGUGCGAAAGCGUGGGGAGCAAACA